UGGGAACAGAGGCCAAAUGCAGUUUAUCUGGCACUGAGGGAGAGAAAAUCAGAGAUCAGCAGACGAAACAAAGCAACAGAUGUGUAAAAGAAGGGGAACGCAUCAGACUUGGCCUCCAAUGCCCUGAGCUCUCCUCUUACUGAGGACUGAUGAAGUACCUUGGUGCUGGUCGUGCAGCCGAGCGUGAUGAGGAGCUGGAAGGAGCCAGCUGGCAGGACGUUAAUGGAGCACUGGUUUGUGCUCUGAAGACAGCUCUGAAGAGGCCAGAGGAACAUGGCACCAGAUCAAACCAGGGAUCCGUCUACUCGAGGAUCCCUCCUCUCACAGUACCCAGGGUGGUGGCCAUCCUUGUGCAUGAUCCUGGAGGUUGGUUUGACCUCCAAGCUCUCCUCUCCUCUUGGGUGCUGGCAGCUGAGCUUGCUGUGACAGCAGAUGCAGAGGCAGUGGUUAGUGCUGCAGCCAGGCUCGGCUUUCCUUGUCUAAAGAUGUUGCUGUAGCAGUGGUGUUGGGCCGAGGGAGAGAAAGAGCCCUGAGGAAGCAGAGGAGAGAGCAGGUAUGUGCCCCUUCCCCACAGCCUCCUCCCACUGCGAAGGUGUUUAUCCUAUUGACAAGCACUGUGGUCCUUUCAUAACUGCUGCAUUAGCAGAGGAUCAAGUAGCACUUAAUGGGAGCAGUCUGCCUCCUGAAGUGUGAUUGAAAAGGUCACCAAGGUGGAUGGAGGAAAAUAUUUGCAGCAGGCUGACAUAAGCCUUGGCUUCUGAUUGACAACAGGUGGACGUUUUAAGCGCUGCCCUCCCCGUCCAGCAUUUCGGCUGCCCUCCCCUCCUUCCACAACACUGGCUGAAUGUUUUGCAGCGGCGCCACGGAGCAUCUGCCGAGCUUGGUGGGAGGCACAUGGGGAAACGCAGCCCAGCCACAGAAUUCAGGGAAGAGGUGAUUUGAGGCCAAGUGUUGCUUUCUGAACUGGCAAAAUCAAGGAAAUCAGGCAAACUGUAAACAAAGCUUUCUCGUGAAACUGCCCCAAGCUGAAUUGUUCGGUUGAACAUGAUGGGGCUCUUCUAUUUUAUGGCACAAAAUACAUAGUUGAUUUUUU
This 1093-nucleotide long non-coding RNA is filed under the name Cairina moschata (Muscovy duck). Its description in RNAcentral is "domestica (muscovy Duck (domestic type)) lncRNA (ENSCMMG00000007863.1)". Lineage: Eukaryota; Metazoa; Chordata; Aves; Anseriformes; Anatidae. The record is from RNAcentral.